AAAAUAGGUAAAAUAGGCAGGUAAAAUAAGAUUUUUCUUUUUCCUGCUCCUUUCUGAAGAUGGAUAAAGAUGCAAUUGUUUUCUAUUUCCUUUGGUACAAUUUGAAUGUUUCCAUGGGUAAAUGAAAUUAAAUGAAAAUCUGUGUUAGUCUGUCAUCCUCAACCAAUGGCUGGUAAGCUCUGCUUUGCACCUGCCUUACCAGAAACGUCAGCAAUAUUAGCAAUAUAAGGCCCAUCCUAAAAUAUUUUUGUGACAUUUAGCGUGUUUGGAGUCAACCCAGUCUCACGGGAAAUCUUGAUACUGUCACGUUAAUUAAUCUAUUGUUUCGUGCGUGCCAGCACGAUUUCCUCAUUUUUUUCGUGCUACUCAGGACGAGUUUCAAACUAAUGCAUUUCAAUUGGAAGUUAAUUUCGUGCUAUCAUCAAGGAUGAAGCCACCAUCAUGCUUGAGAAACUCCAUGCUAUUGGCUACAAACCAGUGCUUCUUCUAGGAAAGACGACAAAGAAGGAGCAAACAAAGUGUGAGAUCCUCACCCCUCGUUGCAGACUGACUGAUUUUGCCAAAGACUACCUCCAAAAAAUUGGCUCAUUUUAUGAGUACCUUUGUGAAGGUUGGAACCAGGAUCCACAUGUGAAUGAGGAGCUAAUCACACUGCACCUCACACCUUGUGACCCACUGGAAGGGCCAAGCAACGCGAACAUGGAGGGACAAGCAGAGCAGACCGACAUGGAGGGACAGGCAGAGCAGACCGACAUGGAGGGACAAGCAGAGCAGACCGACAUGGAGGGACAGGCAGAGCAGACCGACAUGGAGGGACAGGCAGAGCAGACCGACAUGGAGGGACAGGCAAAGCAGACCGACAUGGAGGGACAGGCAGAGCAGACCGACAUGAGUAAAAAGUCAGUGGCAACAAGGCAUAUGCCAGAGAGGAAGAAGCUACAAAAAAGUAAGUUUAAAUUAAUUUCCUGUUUGUUAUCCUUACAGCACAAACCAAUCAUUUAA
RNAcentral lists this long non-coding RNA (1002 nucleotides) under Sparus aurata (gilthead seabream). RNAcentral's name for it is "lncRNA (ENSSAUG00010000791.1)". The record is from RNAcentral. Lineage: Eukaryota; Metazoa; Chordata; Actinopteri; Spariformes; Sparidae.